RNAcentral lists this ribosomal RNA (434 nucleotides) under uncultured Lachnospiraceae bacterium. RNAcentral describes it as "partial 16S ribosomal RNA". It matches the Rfam family "Bacterial small subunit ribosomal RNA", at positions 341 to 792 of the family's 1533-position model. Lineage: Bacteria; Bacillati; Bacillota; Clostridia; Lachnospirales; Lachnospiraceae. The record is from RNAcentral.
ACGGAAGGCAGCAGUGGGGAAUAUUGCACAAUGGGGGAAACCCUGAUGCAGCGACGCCGCGUGAGUGAAGAAGUAUUUCGGUAUGUAAAGCUCUAUCAGCAGGAAAGAAAAUGACGGUACCUGACUAAGAAGCCCCGGCUAACUACGUGCCAGCAGCCGCGGUAAUACGUAGGGGGCAAGCGUUAUCCGGAUUUACUGGGUGUAAAGGGAGCGUAGACGGCUUUGCAAGUCUGAAGCGAAAGCCCGGGGCUCAACCCCGGAACUGCUUUGGAAACUGUAGAGCUAGAGUGCAGGAGAGGUAAGUGGAAUUCCUAGUGUAGCGGUGAAAUGCGUAGAUAUUAGGAGGAACACCAGUGGCGAAGGCGGCUUACUGGACUGUAACUGACGUUGAGGCUCGAAGGCGUGGGGAGCAAACAGGAUUAGAUACCCUGGUA